RNA transcript from Brassica oleracea var. oleracea, 1493 nucleotides. It is a transcript of the gene named heat shock 70 kDa protein 16-like, with no coding region annotated. The record is from RefSeq and is a predicted model, not a curated record. The transcript has 7 exons. NCBI's taxonomy places the organism in Eukaryota, Viridiplantae, Streptophyta, Magnoliopsida, Brassicales, Brassicaceae.
UUUUUUCUCAUCGUCUUCCUCCACGCUGUCCAUCGUCCAAAGUCAUCGGAGGUCAUCACGUUCUCGAAGUUUCGAUCCUCGACGGGUACACAUUUAACAAUGCUUAUCUUUGAGAUUUGCUUGGGAAAAAAUGAGUGUGGUGGGACUCGAUCUCGGGAACGAGAACUGCGUAAUCGCGGUCGCGAAGCAGCGCGGGAUCGACGUUCUGUUAAACGACGAAUCAAACCGAGAGAAUCCCGCCAUGGUUUCGUUCGGCGAGAAGCAGAGAUUCACCUCGGUUCAGAUCCUAGCCAUGCUGCUCUCACAUCUGAAGCAGGUCGCAGAGAAGAGAGUCUCAAAACGUCAUCGGCAUCCCUUCCUACUUCACAAACCGUUGAGAUUGAUUCAUUGAUGUGUAUGCAAACACCAAGGCGUGUGUGAGGUUAAGGGCGUCGUGUGAGAAAGUGAAGAAGGUUUUGAGAGGCUCCGUUGAAUAUAGAGGAGAAAGAUGUGAGGAGCUUUAUCAAGAGAGAUGAGUUUGAGAAGUUGUCGUCUGGAUUGUUCCGUGUCAAAAGGCUUUGGAUGACUCUGGUUUUAAGUUUGGAUCAGAUUCAUUCCGUGGAGCUGGUUGGUUCGGGGUCUAGAAUCCCAGCUAUUUCUAAGAAGCCGAGCUCGUUGUUUAAGAGGGAGCUAGGCAGGACUGUUAAUGCGAGUGAUAUGCUCUUUCCGAAAGGCCACUUCUUUCCAAGUGUUAAGAUUGGUCCAUUUCAAAUUUCCCACGGAGAAGCAGCACGUGUCAAUGUAAGAGUUCAGCUAAAUCUCCACGGGAUCGUCAGCAUCGAUUCAGCUUCUCUAAUAGAAGAUCAUAAGGAGAAUAUGACUUCUGAAGAGAGAAACAACCAUCAAUCUUCUGCGACAAAGGAUGACACUUCAAGCUCUACUCUGAGCAAGAUCUGAAGAUGGAAUCGACAAAGGAUAAGAAAAAUGCUCUUGAAUCCUUUGUUUAUGAGAUGCGUGAUAAGAUGUUAAAUACAUAUAGGAACACUGCAACCGAGUCAGAACGGGAAUGCAUUGUUAGAAAUCUUCAGGAAACAGAGGAGUGGCUAUACGAAGAUGGUGAUGAUGAAUCUGAAAAUGCUUACAUCGAGAAGUUAAAUGAUAUCAGAAAGCUCAUCGAUCCUAUUGAAAACCGGUUUAAAGGCUGAGAAGAGCGAAUACAAGCAUCAAAAGAUCUUCAGAAAACUAUUGCAGAUAAUCGAAUGGCUGCAAUAACGGAUCGCAUGGAAGUAGAUCAGAUGAUAUGGAGCUUGAUUGAUUGAUUUUUCACCAAGGCACACAUUGUAUUUCUCAUGUUCGGUUUCUUUUAUUUAUUUUCUGUCACCGGUUAGAAACAAUUAUUCUCCCGGUUUGAUUUUUCAGAAAUUUUCCCUUCUUAUUGUGAAUCCUUUUUCCCGCUAAUCAACUUUACACCAUUUGUACAAAAUUUUGUUUUUAUUUGUCUGCAUGUGGAAUUU